RNAcentral lists this transfer RNA (73 nucleotides) under Danionella translucida. It matches the Rfam family "tRNA". From Rfam's summary of the family: Transfer RNA (tRNA) molecules are approximately 80 nucleotides in length. The record is from Rfam by way of RNAcentral. RNAcentral also lists the same sequence under 1 other name. Lineage: Eukaryota; Metazoa; Chordata; Actinopteri; Cypriniformes; Danionidae.
GUCGAAAUUGCUCAGUUGGGAGAGUGUUUGACUGCAGAUUUAAAGGUCCCUGGUUCAAUCCUGGGUUUCGGCA